AGUGGAGCAGAUUACUAUGACUAUGGCCAUGGACUGAGUGAAGAAACAUAUGACUCUUAUGGGCAAGAAGAAUGGACCAAUUCAAGACACAAGGCACCUUCUGCAAGGACAACAAAAGGAGUCUACAGAGACCAGCCAUAUGCCAGAUACUGAUUGUACUGUCUGAUGUUGUGAAAUAUCCAAUCUCCACCAGUCCUGUAUACUGUUCAAAGUAAUUUUUUCUAUGAACAAUCCCUUUUUAUUAAAUCAAAGCGCUUAAAAAUCUGAAUGGAUGGACUGAACUUAAAAUAUUUUGUUGAAAGAACAACCUGGACAUAAAGAUAUGUAAAACAAGGAACUUUGUUAUUUCCAAACUGUAACUGAAAAAAUAGGUGAUCAAAAAAAUAACCUUUGAUUAACUAGUGUUAAACAAAAAUAGGUUUACUAAAUAUGCUAGUCCAUUCUUUUAACAUAAGCGUAACCUUUUAUUUUAAAGGUUUUCAACAAUUUAGUUUUUAGUUUUUAUUUUCAGCCAUUUGCUAGCUUUUCUCUUUGCAGACAUGCGUAAAAAGGGAAGCAAAUUACAAAUGCAAAUAAUGUGGUAUUUUGUAAUUCAAGUCUUGAAAUGUUCUGUAGUGUUAAGCAAAGUUUUACCCUUGCUUGAUACUAAAUAAACUUUUGAAAGAAAA
Molecule: non-coding RNA, 668 nt
Organism: Pelecanus crispus (Dalmatian pelican)
Lineage: Eukaryota; Metazoa; Chordata; Aves; Pelecaniformes; Pelecanidae
Source: RefSeq, a predicted model, not a curated record